CAGUUAUCGUUUAUUUGAUAGUACUUUUCUACUUGGAUACCUGUGGUAAUUCUAGAGCUAAUACAUGCCAAAAACCUCGACUUCGGAAGGGGUGUAUUUAUUAGAUAAAAAACCAAUGCCCUUCGGGGCUCCUUGGUGAUUCAUAAUAACUUAACGAAUCGCAUGGCCUUGCGCCGGCGAUGGUUCAUUCAAAUUUCUGCCCUAUCAACUUUCGAUGGUAGGAUAGUGGCCUACCAUGGUUUCUACGGGUAACGGGGAAUUAGGUAGGCUUCAAAUUAUUCUUUUCGUACCGCGACACCCGGCUAAUUAUUUUUCUAGGGUUCGACUCCGGAGAGGGAGCCUGAGAAACGGCUACCACAUCCAAGGAAGGCAGCAGGCGCGCAAAUUACCCAAUCCCGACACGGGGAGGUAGUGACAAUAAAUACUGAUACAGGGCUCUUUUGGGUCUUGUAAUUGGAAUGAGUACAAUUUAAAUCCCUUAUCCAAUCGUUAGGGGAUCGCGAGCAGUCACUUUUUAGUGGCCACGCCCUUCUCGUUCGGGGAGUCUGGAGUAGUUUCCGGCAACUCGAGGCCCGCUUCCGCGGGUUCAGAGACUACGCGAGGGCGGGUAGAGCCUUGAAAGCUCACUAAAGAUAUAGUCCAACCCCGUGGCUUAGUCGCAGGUAUACGUGUAACGAGGAACNNNUGGAGGGCAAGUCUGGUGGACACUUGAGUGUUUCAGGUAGUGAUAUAAUGUAUUAUAUCAGCUGCUGACGCCAGUCACUGGUCGAUCUCUCGCGAGCCGCUAGAGACCCGACCCAGUAGGUUCAAGCCUGCGAGGUACUUGGCACGGGGAAGAGCCUCUCGAAGGCUUCAUCCCGUGGUUUGGGUGUACAGCCCACUCCUUAACGCGCGCAAGGGUGCCGGUGGGCCCUUAGGUCCACUUAAGGUACGUGCUUUGACCCGGCCUGAAGAGGUCAGCGAUGCUCUCCUCAGGGUAUCACGGAGGGAUAUUCGGCCAGCAGCCGCGGUAAUUCCAGCUCCAAUAGCGUAUAUUAAAGUUGUUGCAGNNNNNNNNNUCGUAGUUGAAACUUGGCCCUGGCUGACCGGUCCGCCUCACCGCGUGCACUGGUUCGGCCGGGGCUUUCCUUCUGGGGAUCCGCAUGGCCUUCAUUGGUCGUGUUGGGGAACCAGGACUUUUACUUUGAAAAAAUUAGAGUGUUCAAAGCAGGCCUAUGCUCGAAUACAUUAGCAUGGAAUAAUAGAAUAGGACGUGUGGUUCUAUUUUGUUGGUUUCUAGGACCGCCGUAAUGAUUAAUAGGGACAGUCGGGGGCAUCAGUAUUCAAUUGUCAGAGGUGAAAUUCUUGGAUUUAUUGAAGACUAACUACUGCGAAAGCAUUUGCCAAGGAUGUUUUCAUUAAUCAGUGAACGAAAGUUAGGGGAUCGAAGACGAUCAGAUACCGUCGUAGUCUUAACCAUAAACUAUGCCGACUGGGGAUCGGACGGUGUUAUUAUUUUGACCCGUUCGGCACCCUACGAGAAAUCAAAGUCUUUGGGUUCUGGGGGGAGUAUGGUCGCAAGGCUGAAACUUAAAGACAUUGACGGAAGGGCACCACCAGGAGGUUCGAUGCCUGGUUACAACAACAGUGUUAACCCUCUAAUAAAAAACAUUAUCGGGGCGGUGAGGCCUUUGAAUUGCGUGGACUGCCCGGGCCGCUUCGGUCUGGUCGUACCCGCAGCCAUACCCUAUAGUGUAGGGUGUUGGUCCACAGAUCAAGUGGUGGCCGGUGGAUCUCUUCGGAUCUACUCAUGAUAUGGUCGGCCUCUAGGCUUACAGUCUAGGGAUCUAGUGCGUGGAGCCUGCGGCUUAAUUUGACUCAACACGGGGAAACUCACCAGGUCCAGACACUAUAAGGAUUGACAGAUUGAGAGCUCUUUCUUGAUUUAGUGGGUGGUGGUGCAUGGCCGUUCUUAGUUGGUGGAGUGAUUUGUCUGCUUAAUUGCGAUAACGAACGAGACCUUAACCUGCUAAAUAGCCAGGUCAGCUUUGGCUGGCCGCCGGCUUCUUAGAGGGACUAUCGGCUCAAGCCGAUGGAAGUUUGAGGCAAUAACAGGUCUGUGAUGCCCUUAGAUGCUCUGGGCCGCACGGUACGUAAAGCCCAUUUUAUACCCCGCCCUUCGAAUCCUUGCUAACUUUUUUUAUAGCGCGCUACACUGACAGAGGCAACGAGUAAUCCACCUUGGCCGGAAGGUCUGGGUAAUCUUGUUAAACUCUGUCGUGCUGGGGAUAGAGCAUUGCAAUUAUUGCUCUUCAACGAGGAAUGCCUAGUAAGCGCAAGUCAUCAGCUUGCGUUGAUUACGUCCCUGCCCUUUGUACACACCGCCCGUCGCUACUACCGAUUGAAAGGUUAAGUGAGGCCUUCGGACUGGCCCCAGGAGGUCGGCAACGACCACCCAGGGCCGGAAAGUUCGUCAAACUUGGUCUUUUAGAGGAAGUAAAAGUCGU
Molecule: ribosomal RNA, 2486 nt
Filed under: Parmelia saxatilis
Lineage: Eukaryota; Fungi; Ascomycota; Lecanoromycetes; Lecanorales; Parmeliaceae
Description: partial 18S ribosomal RNA
Rfam family: Eukaryotic small subunit ribosomal RNA
Source: RNAcentral